Non-coding RNA from Macaca mulatta (Rhesus monkey), 685 nucleotides. NCBI's taxonomy places the organism in Eukaryota, Metazoa, Chordata, Mammalia, Primates, Cercopithecidae. The record is from RefSeq and is a predicted model, not a curated record.
UCGGCCGGAACCGCCAUCUUCCAGUAAUUUGCCAAAAUGACGAACACAAAGGGAAAGAGGAGAGGCACCCGAUAUAUGUUCUCUAGGCCUUUUAGAAAACAUGGAGUUGUUCCUUUGGCCACGUAUAUGCGAAUCUAUAAGAAAGGUGAUAUCGUAGACAUCAAGGGAAUGGGUACCGUUCAAAAAGGAAUGCCCCACAAGUGUUACCAUGGCAAAACUGGGAGAGUCUACAACGUUACCCAGCAUGCUGUUGGCAUUGUUGUAAACAAACAAGGGCAAGAUUCUUGCCAAGAGAAUUAAUGUACGUAUUGAGCACAUUAAGCAUUCUAAGAGCAGAGAUAGCUUCCUGAAACGCGUGAAGGAAAAUGAUCAGAAAAAGAAAGAAGCCAAAGAGAAAGGUACCUGGGUUCAACUGAAGCGCCAGCCUGCUCCACCCAGAGAAGCACACUUUGUGAGAACCAAUGGGAAGGAGCCUGAGCUGCUGGAACCUAUUCCCUAUGAAUUCAUGGCAUAAUAGGUGUUAAAAAAAAAUAAAAAUAAAAGACCUCUGGGCUGAAAAAAAAAAAAAAAAAAGAAAAGAACUGCCAAUAUAGAAUUCUGUGACUAAGAAAAUAAUCCUUCAGGGAUGAUGGUGAAAAAAGCGAUUUUCAAAUAAAAACUAAUAUAAUUUGUUACCUGCAGACUU